AAACAACAGGGAUUGCCUUAGUAGCGGCGAGUGAAGCGGCAAUAGCUCAAAUUUGAAAUCUGCCAACAGGCCGAGUUGUAAUUUGAAGAAAGCAAUUCUGGAUGUGUCCUUGCUCAAGUUCCUUGGAAUAGGACAUCAUGGAGGGUGAGAAUCCCGUGAUGCGAAGGUAGCACGUCUAUGUAGAAUGUUUUCGAC
This 195-nucleotide ribosomal RNA is filed under the name uncultured Saccharomycetes. RNAcentral's name for it is "partial 26S ribosomal RNA". It matches the Rfam family "Eukaryotic large subunit ribosomal RNA", at positions 63 to 261 of the family's 3401-position model. The record is from RNAcentral. Lineage: Eukaryota; Fungi; Ascomycota; Saccharomycetes.